This 496-nucleotide ribosomal RNA is filed under the name Staphylococcus hominis. Its description in RNAcentral is "bacterial SSU rRNA". It matches the Rfam family "Bacterial small subunit ribosomal RNA", at positions 46 to 525 of the family's 1533-position model. Lineage: Bacteria; Bacillati; Bacillota; Bacilli; Caryophanales; Staphylococcaceae. The record is from RNAcentral.
GCUAAUACAUGCAAGUCGAGCGAACAGACGAGGAGCUUGCUCCUUUGACGUUAGCGGCGGACGGGUGAGUAACACGUAGGUAACCUACCUAUAAGACUGGGAUAACUUCGGGAAACCGGAGCUAAUACCGGAUAAUAUUUCGAACCGCAUGGUUCGAUAGUGAAAGAUGGCUUUGCUAUCACUUAUAGAUGGACCUGCGCCGUAUUAGCUAGUUGGUAAGGUAACGGCUUACCAAGGCAACGAUACGUAGCCGACCUGAGAGGGUGAUCGGCCACACUGGAACUGAGACACGGUCCAGACUCCUACGGGAGGCAGCAGUAGGGAAUCUUCCGCAAUGGGCGAAAGCCUGACGGAGCAACGCCGCGUGAGUGAUGAAGGUCUUCGGAUCGUAAAACUCUGUUAUUAGGGAAGAACAAACGUGUAAGUAACUGUGCACGUCUUGACGGUACCUAAUCAGAAAGCCACGGCUAACUACGUGCCAGCAGCCGGGGGUUAA